CCGGCACGGGUGAGUAACACGUAUCCAACCUGCCGUCUACUCUUGGACAGCCUUCUGAAAGGAAGAUUAAUACAAGAUGGCAUCAUGAGUCCGCAUGUUCACAUGAUUAAAGGUAUUCCGGUAGACGAUGGGGAUGCGUCCCAUUAGAUAGUAGGCGGGGUAACGGCCCACCUAGUCUUCGAUGGAUAGGGGUUCUGAGAGGAAGGUCCCCCACAUUGGAACUGAGACACGGUCCAA
Molecule: ribosomal RNA, 237 nt
Filed under: uncultured bacterium
Lineage: Bacteria
Description: partial 16S ribosomal RNA
Rfam family: Bacterial small subunit ribosomal RNA
Source: RNAcentral